This is a long non-coding RNA of Heterocephalus glaber (naked mole-rat), 3578 nucleotides long. RefSeq lists it as uncharacterized. The record is from RefSeq and is a predicted model, not a curated record. Lineage: Eukaryota; Metazoa; Chordata; Mammalia; Rodentia; Bathyergidae.
AGUGAAUGUCCGUCAGAGUCCGCGCUGAGGGCAUAGAGAGCGAAAAGUCCGGCCAGACCGCUUUCCUCCCGAGAGCGGACGCGGCCGGCUAGGAUUCUCCGGGACAACGAGCGAAGGCGCUGGGCGGGGCCUUGCCGUUCCGCGGGACGCCGGGAAGGGGGUCACUCUCCGAGAGAGGUUCCGGUUCCGGGGCCGGCGGCCGAUUUCCCCGCGGGAGUGGGCCUGGGGCGGGCGGUUCGUCCCCUCUCCCAGAUCCAUUGAUUCCAGGUAAACCAGAGAAACAAGCAUCCUGAGAAAUGGUACACACGUGGAAAAUGCUACUGUGCUGAAGCAACUUGUUUCAGAAGCCAGUGAAGUAGGGAAUAUACUAAAUUCCUUCCAAAAGCAUCCAUCCAUUUAUUCAUGCUUAUACUGGACCCCAGGGCCGGAAGCACGGAUGUUAUGAAAGUUGCAUUUGACUUUCAAACCAAAACCCAACAUGCAAACAAGCCAGCUUCAGAGUGCACAGCUGUUGAAACCCGAAGGACAACACUCCAAGGAUCUCAAAAGUCAGAAGUGACUCAAAGUCACACAGCUCAUCAGUGGCAUGAACAAGGGCCAGGUCUAGGGAGGGGUCUUCAGAUCCUGUCCUGUGCCUCCUGCACACUUGAUAUUUAUAUUUUAUAAAAGCAGCAAAGCUAGGUGUGGUGGCGCAUGCCUGCAAUCCCAGCACUCAAGAGGCUGAGGCAGGAGGAUCGCAGUGAAUUCACCAGCCUGGGCUACACAGUGAGUUCAAGGACAGCCUCAACUGCAUAGUGAGACCUUGUCUCAAAAACAACAACAAGAGCAGCUCAAUUCCACGUGCCUGGAGAAGCAUCCUGAGUUACUGCCAUCCCUGCACUUGCCACUGAGAUGACUCCCUGCCACCCUCAGUGGCUGGGUAGCAUAGGCCCCUGAGGUGAACAUCCGACCCAGAGAAACCAACCAAGCAGGCUGGGGGGUCUCCCCAAGAAGCACGCGGGGAACCCCAGUGGGAAGGGAGAAGCCAAUGCUUGAAGAACUGGGAAACAGAAAACAAAGAAAGAGCAGAAGAAGCUGAGAGCAGAGCUCGGUUGAGAACCAGCUCUCCAUGCCCAGUCUGGGACUUCACUGAUGGGGCACCCCAGAAAUGGACACCCCCCCAUGACUUACUCUACCGCUUCCAGGGAAGCCGGAUAGAGACAGAAAUGGGAUCUGCAAUUUCCAGAACAUCAAUUACUACCUGGGGACCCUGGGCAGGGCCUCUCCUUCCUGUGCUAUGGCCUCAGUUUACCCAUUUGUACAAUGAGGGGCUACUAGCUGGAGAAGCCAUUUCGGCUUUUCUCCUCACCCCGGUGUGGAGAUGUAAACACACGACAACACAACACACCUACAAGAUGAGAGCCAUACAGACUGCAGCGGGAGCUGGCUGACCAAUGGCCGGUGCGGAGGCAAACCCAAAUUGUGCCCCCAGCUUAUUAUAUCAGCCCCUGCUUCCCCGUGAGGGGUGGUGGAGAUGCUGGCUGCAGAAAAGGUAUGGAGAAAAAGCUGUGAGAACUUCGCUCUUUGGGAGACAUUUUGUACAUUGCACAAACAGCCCCUGCUGUCAAGUGAGUCAGAAUUUCCGAAAGGCAUAAUUUUAGUGCCCUUCUUGCGGUUCCCUCUUCAGGCCGCUUCUGCAGGGGAGGCCUGGGCGGGGUUUCCUGUCUCAUUCCAGAGAUGACAGAGGGGUUCUCCCCCGGGCCUUGCCAGAGCUUUCUUUCCAGGCAGCCGUUACUGCGAAGAGGAAUCCAAGUGUUUGCAGCCCUUUCCAGCUCAGAAAUGGCUUACUUACCCUUUUGCCUUCUGCAUGGUCUACUAUAUUUUAUUUUAUUUUUUUGUACUGGGCUGGGAUCGAACUCAGGACCUUGCACUUUCCAGGCAGGUGGUGGCACCACUGAGCUAAAUUCCCAGCCCUGCAUGGUCUACUUUAAAGUGGAAAAAGACCACCACUGAACAAGAAAGUAAGGUCCCAGAUGGGGAGCAGCUCAAUGGUAGAGCGCAUGCUUAGAUGCACAAGGCCCUAGGUUCCGUUCCCAGCACCACAAUAAUUAAUAAUAAUCGUAAAGUCCUAUUUUUGUGCUUUGUUUAUAUUUUCAGUACUAGGGAUUGAACCCAGGGCCUUCAUACUAAGUACAAAUAAAAUAAUAAUAAUAAUAAUAAUAAUAAUAACUAGACAUAUCUGCUACUAUUUGCAGUUUGUAUAUGUUUUAUCACAUUUCUCCCUGUGAAAUUGUCAUUGCUAACCCUGAUAACAGAUGGAAAGCCCCAUGUCCCUGGAGGAGGUUCCAUGGCUUGCAAGGUUCACCUCUGUUAGAUAACAACAGGGAAAGUGGGGCCUGGAGUCCGAGUCUCCUCCUGGAGAGGAGAUCCACAGCUCCCAGCUCUGAGCAGCAGGAGGGCCCUUUCAACUCAGCACAGCUGGCCACCGGGUCUGUGCCUCCUCCUUCUCCUUAUUCCCAGAGAUGAGCGCACAGUAGGUCUCAGAUGUUUGAGGAAAGGUCCACAGUACUCAGACCUGGCCCAGAACCACCACGCUAGAGCUGGCUGAGGUGGGUGUUUACAAGGCCAGGCACAAAAACCGGUAGGAGGUGGGUUUCUAUUAUUAGAUUCUUUCAACAGAGGAGGAAACUGGAGGGUGAGUAACCAGCCACAAAGUUGCAAAUUGGGACAAUUUGUUGCCAUAGCCUGAGUACUUAACUCCAGGCUGGAGCUAACUCUUCCUAGAGGACAGGGAUUUUCUAGGUGGCUGGCUGCCCCACCCCCAGCAGGCUUGGCAGGGCUGGCUCUGCCCUGUACAAAUCACCUGGCCUCUUUGUGCCUCAGUUUCCCUCUAAGACAAAAGCAAACUUUUCCUAAACAGGUGUGGUGGUGCAUAACAGCACGCUGGAAAGCUGAGGCAAGACAGAAUUGCACACUUCAAAGCAACUUAGCUAGACUCUGUCUCAAACUAAAAAAAAGCCAGCAAUGUAGUUCAGUGCAAAGACCCUGGGCUCAAACCCCAGUACUAUCAAUCAUAAUAACGAAUACAUAUUAAAUACAUAAAAAUUAAAAAACCUUUUUCUACCUGGAUGAUCUUUGCAGAAAUUUAACAAGGAGACACACAAAAGCAACCUGAAAGGCGAAAAGUAUCAUCCAAAUGCAAGGAUAAUGACUGUUCACCACUGCCUGUACCUUCAACGUGGCUGAGUUAACCUCAGGGCCUGUGGCAACACCUCUGGAGGAGGAUGAGGUAUUCAAUGGAACACCUGGAACCAGUCAGGGGAGGAACAGCCGAGGAGGCCCGUUGUAGGGCCUUUGUAGGGUUGACCCUCACAAUUACGAUUUAAUAAAAGAUGAAAGUUGGGGGUGUUGUUGACACCAGCGUUUUAACUCCAUGUUAAUCCUGGGCUUUGCCUUGCACCACGGAAACACACACACACAAACACACACUCCAUCACUACCUGCUCCUGUUUGACAAUUCAGUGACCGACUUUCACACUGAUUUCUUCUGCCAGCCCUGCUAAGAAACAAGAGGAAAACAGCCUCUUGGAAGUGUUGGA